Molecule: ribosomal RNA, 730 nt
Filed under: uncultured bacterium
Lineage: Bacteria
Description: bacterial SSU rRNA
Rfam family: Bacterial small subunit ribosomal RNA
Source: RNAcentral
AACAGGAUUAGAUACCCUGGUAGUCCACGCCGUAAACGAUGUCGACUUGGAGGUUGUGCCCUUGAGGCGUGGCUUCCGGAGCUAACGCGUUAAGUCGACCGCCUGGGGAGUACGGCCGCAAGGUUAAAACUCAAAUGAAUUGACGGGGGCCCGCACAAGCGGUGGAGCAUGUGGUUUAAUUCGAUGCAACGCGAAGAACCUUACCUGGUCUUGACAUCCACGGAAUUUGGCAGAGAUGCCUUAGUGCCUUCGGGAACCGUGAGACAGGUGCUGCAUGGCUGUCGUCAGCUCGUGUUGUGAAAUGUUGGGUUAAGUCCCGCAACGAGCGCAACCCUUAUCCUUUGUUGCCAGCGGUCCGGCCGGGAACUCAAAGGAGACUGCCAGUGAUAAACUGGAGGAAGGUGGGGAUGACGUCAAGUCAUCAUGGCCCUUACGACCAGGGCUACACACGUGCUACAAUGGCAUAUACAAAGAGAAGCGACCUCGCGAGAGCAAGCGGACCUCAUAAAGUGCGUCGUAGUCCGGAUUGGAGUCUGCAACUCGACUCCAUGAAGUCGGAAUCGCUAGUAAUCGUAGAUCAGAAUGCUACGGUGAAUACGUUCCCGGGCCUUGUACACACCGCCCGUCACACCAUGGGAGUGGGUUGCAAAAGAAGUAGGUAGCUUAACCUUCGGGAGGGCGCUUACCACUUUGUGAUUCAUGACUGGGGUGAAGUCGUAACAAGGUAACC